This 253-nucleotide ribosomal RNA is filed under the name uncultured bacterium. RNAcentral describes it as "partial 16S ribosomal RNA". It matches the Rfam family "Bacterial small subunit ribosomal RNA", at positions 524 to 776 of the family's 1533-position model. The record is from RNAcentral.
UACGUAGGGUGCGAGCGUUAAUCGGAAUUACUGGGCGUAAAGCGUGCGCAGGCGGUUGUGCAAGACAGAUGUGAAAUCCCCGGGCUUAACCUGGGAAUUGCAUUUGUGACUGCACGGCUAGAGUGUGUCAGAGGGGGGUGGAAUUCCAUGUGUAGCAGUGAAAUGCGUAGAUAUGUGGAGGAAUACCGAUGGCGAAGGCAGCCCCCUGGGACAACACUGACGCUCAUGCACGAAAGCGUGGGGAGCAAACAGG